This 93-nucleotide transfer RNA is filed under the name Salmo salar (Atlantic salmon). It matches the Rfam family "tRNA". Rfam says of the family: Transfer RNA (tRNA) molecules are approximately 80 nucleotides in length. Their secondary structure includes four short double-helical elements and three loops (D, anti-codon, and T loops). The record is from Rfam by way of RNAcentral. Lineage: Eukaryota; Metazoa; Chordata; Actinopteri; Salmoniformes; Salmonidae.
UUCCCUGUGGCUCAGUUGGUAGAGCAUGGUGUUUGCAACGCCAGCAUGGUGUGUGCAAUGCCAGGGUUGUGGGUUCGAUUCCCACGAGGGGUC